This 400-nucleotide ribosomal RNA is filed under the name uncultured Bordetella sp. Its description in RNAcentral is "bacterial SSU rRNA". It matches the Rfam family "Bacterial small subunit ribosomal RNA", at positions 505 to 905 of the family's 1533-position model. Lineage: Bacteria; Pseudomonadati; Pseudomonadota; Betaproteobacteria; Burkholderiales; Alcaligenaceae. The record is from RNAcentral.
GUGCCAGCAGCUGCGGUAAUACGUAGGGUGCAAGCGUUAAUCGGAAUUACUGGGCGUAAAGCGUGCGCAGGCGGUUCGGAAAGAAAGAUGUGAAAUCCCAGGGCUUAACCUUGGAACUGCAUUUUUAACUACCGGGCUAGAGUGUGUCAGAGGGAGGUGGAAUUCCGCGUGUAGCAGUGAAAUGCGUAGAGAUGCGGAGGAACACCGAUGGCGAAGGCAGCCUCCUGGGAUAACACUGACGCUCAUGCACGAAAGCGUGGGAGCAAACAGGAUUAGAUACCCUGGUAGUCCACGCCCUAAACGAUGUCAACUAGCUGUUGGGCCUUCGGGCCUUGGUAGCGCAGCUAACGCGUGAAGUUGACCGCCGUGGGGAGUACGGUCGCGAAGAUUAAAACUCAAA